Long non-coding RNA from Ostrinia furnacalis (Asian corn borer), 179 nucleotides. RefSeq lists it as uncharacterized. The transcript is spliced from 2 exons. The record is from RefSeq and is a predicted model, not a curated record. NCBI's taxonomy places the organism in Eukaryota, Metazoa, Arthropoda, Insecta, Lepidoptera, Crambidae.
UCAAGGAACUCAAACAACGUGUGAUAUGUUAUGAUUUAAUUUAAAAACUUAACUCUUAGGUACAAUUUUAUUUACAAAACGCAAGCUACCUAUUACUCGUAUAGUAUCUACUUAUUCUUACACAGUUGAUAAAUAGGUACUAAGAUGUUAAUGUUAUGCGAGUUCAAGUAGAGUAGAAA